RNAcentral lists this ribosomal RNA (253 nucleotides) under uncultured bacterium. RNAcentral describes it as "partial 16S ribosomal RNA". It matches the Rfam family "Bacterial small subunit ribosomal RNA", at positions 524 to 776 of the family's 1533-position model. The record is from RNAcentral.
UACAGAGGUCCCAAGCGUUGUUCGGAUUCACUGGGCGUAAAGGGUGCGCAGGCGGUCGGGUAAGUCUGACGUGAAAUCCCGCAGCUUAACUGCGGAAUGGCAUUGGAUACUAUUCGGCUAGAGGGUUGGAGGGGGGACUGGAAUUCUCGGUGUAGCAGUGAAAUGCGUAGAUAUCGAGAGGAACACCAGUGGCGAAGGCGAGUCCCUGGACAGCUCCUGACGCUGAGGCACGAAAGCUAGGGGAGCAAACAGG